This 76-nucleotide transfer RNA is filed under the name Cupriavidus taiwanensis LMG 19424. Its description in RNAcentral is "tRNA-Met". It matches the Rfam family "tRNA". From Rfam's summary of the family: Transfer RNA (tRNA) molecules are approximately 80 nucleotides in length. Their secondary structure includes four short double-helical elements and three loops (D, anti-codon, and T loops). Further hydrogen bonds mediate the characteristic L-shaped molecular structure. tRNAs have two regions of fundamental functional importance: the anti-codon, which is responsible for specific mRNA codon recognition, and the 3' end, to which the tRNAs corresponding amino acid is attached (by aminoacyl-tRNA synthetases). tRNAs cope with the degeneracy of the genetic code in two manners: having more than one tRNA (with a specific anti-codon) for a particular amino acid; and 'wobble' base-pairing, i.e. permitting non-standard base-pairing at the 3rd anti-codon position. Lineage: Bacteria; Pseudomonadati; Pseudomonadota; Betaproteobacteria; Burkholderiales; Burkholderiaceae. The record is from RNAcentral.
GCGGGGUGGAGCAGUUGGCAGCUCGUCGGGCUCAUAACCCGAAGGUCGCAGGUUCAAGUCCUGCCCCCGCAACCAA